This is a non-coding RNA of Acanthosepion pharaonis, 115 nucleotides long. NCBI's taxonomy places the organism in Eukaryota, Metazoa, Mollusca, Cephalopoda, Sepiida, Sepiidae. The record is from the annotation of a GenBank genome assembly.
UUACGACCAUAUCAGGUUGGAACACCAGUUCUCGUUCGAUCAUUAAUGUUAAGCAACGUUGAACCUGGUCAGUACCUAGAUGGGUGACCGCGUUAGAAUACGAAAUGCUGUAUGC